AUGUACGAAAGAGAGAAAUCAUAUAUUGGAUAAACUUUUGGAUUACAAUAGGGGAUAUUGCAGGAGGAACAUCAUCCAAAUGUGAUGCAUAAUGUAAAUAUUCUCUUGACAACAAAACUUAAAUUGAAACCAUCCAUCAACAUCCCUACAACUUAACAAAAACUUAAUCGAGCAACAUGAUUCAAGAGGAACAACAUCCCUACUAACUUAACUAAAACUAAAAGCAUCUGUCAUCGUCAUCAUGAACCAGAACACCAUCACCAUCAUUGAAGUAUAAUUGCCUCAUCCAUAUAUCUUUUGAAUCUACAAAGUAAAUAAGAAAAUGAACUGUUAAUACACAAUGCAUUGAGAUUACACAAGUAGUGAUAGAGGCAUGAUGUUUCACAUACAAAUGUUAAACAUAAUGCAAUCUUUGUUUUUUCUGAAUUACCAAGAAUAUUAUAGGUUUUGCGACUACGUACCAAAUCUUCAUUUUUCACAAGUGUCAUAUGAACAUGAAGUGCCCCAAAUUCAUUCGCAGUUUCAGCACCAUCAAGGUUAAAUUUAGGA
RNAcentral lists this long non-coding RNA (549 nucleotides) under Hordeum vulgare. Its description in RNAcentral is "long non-coding RNA (HVUL_LNC016202)". Lineage: Eukaryota; Viridiplantae; Streptophyta; Magnoliopsida; Poales; Poaceae. The record is from RNAcentral.